UACGUAGGGUCCGAGCGUUGUCCGGAAUUAUUGGGCGUAAAGGGCUCGUAGGCGGUUGGUCACGUCGGGAGUGAAAACUCAGGGCUCAACCCUGAGCGUGCUUCCGAUACGGGCCGACUAGAGGUAUGCAGGGGAGAACGGAAUUCCUGGUGUAGCGGUGAAAUGCGCAGAUAUCAGGAGGAACACCGGUGGCGAAGGCGGGUCUCUGGGCAGUAACUGACGCUGAGGAACGAAAGCGUGGGUAGCGAACAGG
This 253-nucleotide ribosomal RNA is filed under the name uncultured bacterium. Its description in RNAcentral is "partial 16S ribosomal RNA". It matches the Rfam family "Bacterial small subunit ribosomal RNA", at positions 524 to 776 of the family's 1533-position model. The record is from RNAcentral.